UGGGGAAUCUUGGACAAUGGGGGCAACCCUGAUCCAGCCAUGCCGCGUGAGUGAUGAAGGCCUUAGGGUCGUAAAGCUCUUUCGCCUGUGAAGAUAAUGACGGUAGCAGGUAAAGAAACCCCGGCUAACUCCGUGCCAGCAGCCGCGGUAAUACGGAGGGGGUUAGCGUUGUUCGGGAAUUACUGGGCGUAAAGCGCACGUAGGCGGACCAGAAAGUUGGGGGUGAAAUCCCGGGGGCUCAACCCCGGAACUGCCUCCAAAACUAUUGGUCUAGAGUUCGAGAGAGGUGAGUGGAAUUCCAAGUGUAGAGGUGAAAUUCGUAGAUAUUUGGAGGAACACCAGUGGCGAAGGCGGCUCACUGGCUCGAUACUGACGCUGAGGUGCGAAAGUGUGGGGAGCAAACAGGAUUAG
This 411-nucleotide ribosomal RNA is filed under the name uncultured bacterium. RNAcentral's name for it is "bacterial SSU rRNA". It matches the Rfam family "Bacterial small subunit ribosomal RNA", at positions 355 to 781 of the family's 1533-position model. The record is from RNAcentral.